UGGGGAAUCAUGGUCAAUGGGCGAAAGCCUGAUGCAGCAACGCCGCGUGAGCGAUGAAGGCCUUCGGGUCGUAAAGCUCUGUCCUCAAGGAAGAUAAUGACGGUACUUGAGGAGGAAGCCCCGGCUAACUACGUGCCAGCAGCCGCGAUAAUACGUAGGGGGCUAGCGUUAUCCGGAAUUACUGGGCGUAAAGGGUGCGUAGGUGGUUUCUUAAGUCAGAGGUUAAAGGCUACGGCUCAACCGUAGUAAGCCUUUGAAACUGGGAAACUUGAGUGCAGGAGAGGAGAGUGGAAUUCCUAGUGUAGCGGUGAAAUGCGUAGAUAUUAGGAGGAACACCAGUUGCGAAGGCGGCUCUCUGGACUGUAGCUGACGCUGAGGCACGAAAGCGUGGGGAGCAAACA
RNAcentral lists this ribosomal RNA (401 nucleotides) under uncultured prokaryote. RNAcentral's name for it is "bacterial SSU rRNA". It matches the Rfam family "Bacterial small subunit ribosomal RNA", at positions 355 to 774 of the family's 1533-position model. The record is from RNAcentral.